This 131-nucleotide small nuclear RNA is filed under the name Naja naja (Indian cobra). RNAcentral describes it as "U4 spliceosomal RNA (ENSNNAG00000018155.1)". It matches the Rfam family "U4 spliceosomal RNA". Rfam says of the family: U4 small nuclear RNA (U4 snRNA) is a component of the major U2-dependent spliceosome. The structure of U4 snRNA from yeast and human has been reported. U4 snRNA presents a k-turn RNA motif in the 5p-SL related to recognition of Snu13 protein. Lineage: Eukaryota; Metazoa; Chordata; Lepidosauria; Squamata; Elapidae. The record is from RNAcentral.
CUCUUUCUGCAAUGUCAGUAUUGUAGCCAAUGAGGUUUAUUAGAGGUGUUGUUAUUGCUAAUUGCAAAUUUUUCAAUAUAUAAAUUUCAAUAUAUACAUUUAAAAAUUUUCUGAAACAUUCAGAGUUGAAU